Panicum virgatum (switchgrass) is the source of this 790-nucleotide long non-coding RNA. RefSeq lists it as uncharacterized. The transcript has 2 exons. The record is from RefSeq and is a predicted model, not a curated record. Lineage: Eukaryota; Viridiplantae; Streptophyta; Magnoliopsida; Poales; Poaceae.
GGGAUAGGGUGUUCGAUGCGUCGGAUGUCCCUAUCUACUGCCUUGCUCACCCCUUAUCCCCUCCAUUGUAUGCACCCGCUCCCUCUCUCAUCCCGGCAUCCUCCUCCUCUACCCCAGCAGCUUCUUCCCCCACCCCAGCGGCGGCGCUUCACCCACCACGACGUCCUCCUCCACUGCUCCUCCGUCGGAUCCGCCAUACUUGAGCUCCUCCGCCGCCCUCGAGCUCCUCCACCAAGGCUUAAGAGGCUGCGCAUGCGGGGCGCGGCUGGAGGCGGAAGAGCGGCAGCGGCUCACCGGUGCGGCGGUACACUAGUGGGAGCGGCCCAUAGCAAGAGGACCAAUUACCUGACGGCGCGGACCCAGGGCAGGGCGCGACUACGGUAGCGGCAGGCUAGCGAGGCGCACAGGGAGUGCGCACCCCUUGGCGGGCCCACUUUUCACCGAUGCACAUUGUGUGAGUUGAAAAAUCACUACCGGGACCGAGCCUUAGCUCGGUUGGUGCGCUCUCCGGGUGCGGAAGCCACCGGUCGCGGGUUCGAGCGUUGCUCGUCCCGGAUUUCCCACCGGGAACAGUAGGUUCUUAUUAAAUUUUGUUAUCUCUCAUGCGUGGAGCCACAAAGGGAUUGCGACGCGCCCGUCGCCUACGGAGCCUUGGAUGGAUCCGGUGAUCUCAUGAAGGACGCGAUUUGAUCUGAGUGUAGUUGUGUUUGUUUGUGUAUGUGUGGUGUGAGUGUGGUGUGCGUGUGUAAGGUUGAUGUGAGUUGUACAUGAACAAUACUACAACUGUACC